This is a long non-coding RNA of Quercus robur (English oak), 851 nucleotides long. RefSeq lists it as uncharacterized. The transcript is spliced from 3 exons. The record is from RefSeq and is a predicted model, not a curated record. Lineage: Eukaryota; Viridiplantae; Streptophyta; Magnoliopsida; Fagales; Fagaceae.
GAUCCCUUUUUAAAACACAAAUUUGAUCAUGAAAUAGCUUAGGCCCUAUCUGCUUCCUAAUAUUAACUCUUGUGCUUUAUUAUAAAUUUCCCUUCUGGCCUCAAUGCAAUAAUAUGGUUGGGUUUUAGAUAUUCAGGCUCCAACACACUGUGUCUGGAUUCAGUUCUCUCCUAUCAUAUAGUUUUAAAGAAUCAUAUUUGGUUAGUGUAAAACAUCCAUGAUUAUUAGUUUUAUGGAGGGACAGUGCUCUGUCAUUAUUCAGUGAGGCCCUUCAUUAAUUGGUUUUAUUUGAUUUUUUUCCCCUAACAGGACACAGUCUUUGAUCCAUAUUCCCUCACUUGUGGCCAUAUAUUUUGCUACAUGUGUGCUUGCUCAUCUGCAUCAGUGUCAAUUGUUGAUAAGUUAAAGUCAGCAGAGCCUAAAGGAAAAUGCCCUCUGUGCCGAGAGCUUAUGAAUUUUAAGGAGAAAGAUGGCUUUUCAUUUUGAUUGGUGAUGAACUGGACUAAUUAUACUACUCAUCAACGGCAUGGAAUCUUUUAGUUAAGGUGAAAAGGGUUGCAUUGGUGAGUUUCUUUUGUAUUUCUCUUACCUUUCAAAGGGCACAAGACUAAGGAUGUAUACUUUUAUAAUGCCUGGUCUACAUGAGAUGGAGUUUCUACUAAUGAACAAUUAGAUGCUUGUAGUGCACACAAGACUGAGACAGGGCUAAUGAAUAACAUUAUGUAAUAACAUUAUAACCUUAGUUCACCAAGUUCAAGGUCCUUAAUGAUUUUCUUUUAAUAUGUUAUUUAUUUAUUUAUUUAUUUAAAUGGAUGUAGUUUAUAUAAAGAUAUGUUAAGCAUUCUUGUGUU